UACGUAGGGGGCAAGCGUUGUCCGGAAUUAUUGGGCGUAAAGAGCGCGUAGGCGGUCCGAUAAGUCGGCUGUGAAAGUCAAGGGCUCAACCCUUGAAAGCCGGCCGAUACUGUCGGACUAGAGUCCGGAAGAGGCGAGUGGAAUUCCCGGUGUAGCGGUGAAAUGCGUAGAUAUCUGGAGGAACACCGGUGGCGAAGGCGGCAUCCUGGACCGGCAUUGACGCUGAGGCGCGAAAGCCAGGGGAGCAAACGGG
RNAcentral lists this ribosomal RNA (253 nucleotides) under uncultured bacterium. RNAcentral describes it as "partial 16S ribosomal RNA". It matches the Rfam family "Bacterial small subunit ribosomal RNA", at positions 524 to 776 of the family's 1533-position model. The record is from RNAcentral.